Molecule: RNA transcript, 6284 nt
Organism: Gallus gallus (chicken)
Lineage: Eukaryota; Metazoa; Chordata; Aves; Galliformes; Phasianidae
Gene: NECTIN3
Gene name: nectin cell adhesion molecule 3
Exons: 8
Source: RefSeq, a predicted model, not a curated record
GGCGGCCGGACCUGGAGCGGCUCGGCAGCAGAGCCCGGAGCAUGGCAGCGAUCGGAGCCGUUUCUCGCGUCUCGCCGGCUCCUAUCGGUCGUCGGGAACUUUUUCCAGCGGCCGGUGCCUCCCCGCGGUGGUGGUGGUGGCAACAGCGGCGGCGCCGGGCGGGCUCGGCGCUGCCCCCGGGGCUGGGGCUGCUGGGACUGGUGUUCUCCCGCUUCUGCUGCAGUGCCUUAGCUGGACCAGUUGUUGAUCCACAUGUGACAGCAGUGUGGGGGAAGAAGGUUGCACUGAAAUGCAUCAUUGAUGUAAAUGAAACAAUAACACAAGUUUCUUGGGAGAAGAUCCAUGGUAAAACUUCAGAGACUAUUGCUGUUCAUCAUCCUGAAUAUGGAAUUUCUAUUCAAGAAAAAUACCAAGGAAAAGUGUCAUUUAAAAACUAUUCACUUACUGAUGCAACAAUCAUCCUAAAAAAUGUAAGCUUUUCUGAUGCAGGAGAAUAUAUCUGUAAGGCAGUUACAUUCCCUCUUGGAAAUUCACAGUCAUCAAUAACUGUAACAGUAUUAGUUGAACCUGUUGUGAGCUUAACAAAAGGACCAAACCCUCUGAUUGAUGGUGCCAAUCAAACAAUAGCAGCCAUUUGUACAGCAGCCACUGGAAAACCUGCUGCAGAGAUUGACUGGGAAGGAGGUCUUGGUGAGAUGGAAUCCAGCUCCACUUUGUUUCCAAAUGAAACUGUGACAGUCAUAAGUCAGUAUACCAUCAUCCCUACAAGAUUUGCAAGAGGAAGACGAAUAACUUGUAUUGUGAGGCACCCGGCUUUGGAAAAGGAGAUAAGAUUCUCUCACGUGUUGGACAUACAGUAUGCCCCUGAAGUUUCAGUAACUGGAUAUGAUGGAAACUGGUUCAUUGGAAGAGAAAAUGUUCAGCUCAGAUGUAAUGCUGAUGCAAAUCCAUUACCCAUGGAAUUCAUGUGGACCAGGCUGGAUGGACAGUGGCCUGAAGGACUGCUGUCUGUCAACAAUACUCUGCAGUUCAGCAGCCCAUUGACUUACAACUACACUGGGACUUAUAUCUGUAAGGUGACUAAUUCUCUUGGUCAGAGGAGUGAUCAGAAGACCAUCUACAUAUUAGAUCCUCCUACUACUACCACUCGACUGCCCACGGUUCCCUGGCAUCCUUCGACUGAUGGCAUCACAGGUUUAGCAACAGAACCUAGAAUAAUAGAUUUCCCAUCAUCAACUUUGCCAGCAAUGCAGGAAGACACUUGGGGUACUGUCAUCGGUAGUGCUGUGGGUGGGGCCCUCUUCCUCAUACUGGUCAGUGUUCUGGUUGGAAUUAUCUGCUAUAGGAGAAGACGGACGUUCCGUGGUGACUACUUUGCUAAGAACUACAUUCCACCAUCAGAUAUGCAAAAAGAGUCUCAAAUAGAUGUUCUUCAGUCAGAUGAUGUGGAUUCUUACCCUGACAGUAUAAAAAAAGAAAUAAAGCAUCCAAUGAACAGCUUAAUAUCUAAAGAUUAUUUAGAAGACCCUGAAAAACCAGAGUGGAACAAUAUAGACAAUAUUAACAGGUACCAGGAACGUUAUGAAAGACCGAUGGAUUACUAUGAAAGUGGAACAUUGGGGAUGAAGUAUAUGGGUGGUGAUUGUUACGAUGACAAUGAAGAAGACUUUGUUUCUCACAUAGAUGGCUCGGUAAUAUCCCGGAGGGAGUGGUAUGUGUAGUAGCCACUGAAAACAAAACUUGUAUUCACAAUUCAUUUCAUUGGCUGAUCACUUUCAGAUUGUUUAUACUUACAUAUGGGGAGGAAUAAACUUUUUGAAACUGAUUUUUUUGGAAGGUUUUUAUAUUGUGACUUGACAACUGCAAAUAUUGAAUUUGGGGGAAGUGUAUUUGAGCUGCUUUUUUUCCCUAUGUUGUACUACUGUUUAAGAUUUGAAUUUGGAAGCAGAAUGCUUACAAACCGGUUUAUGUCAGAGGUUAAAAAAGAAAAAGCUAAAUUAAAGUUACCAGUCAUAUUUGUUAAAGAAUAUAAAGUGGCUGUCUUGGGUCUCUGAUUUAAAAAAAUAUAUAUAUAGAAAAGUUCUCAUAAGAGUGAUCAAAUAAAAUUUUGUGGGCAUUUAUUUUGCAGAAGUAGAAAGUGAAUUACUCAAAUCUAGCUGCCAUCUGUGGUAGUCUUAAUGCUUCUAUAUAACAAAUAACUUACCAGUUAUGAUGAGUUACAGUGGAAUCAAAGCUUUAUUUUUAGGUUUUUUCUGCACAAAAAUGAAUACCUCUUAGCAUUUUAAUGAGCCUUCUUGUAACUAUGUACUUAAAAGAAGUCAUUGCACUGAAAGUAACUUAUCUAUGAACAAGGUUUUGAGGAGUAACUGUAAACUAGUAAAACGCUUGUUUGAAUAAGAAAAUUAUUUUUGUAUAGUCAUUGAUUUAUAAAUAUUAUGUGUAUAUAUACAUACAAUAUGGUAUUUUGUUGAGCCUGUACUUGUUAGGACGUCAGAAUCCUUUAUUGAACAUCAGGCUCCUUUUGCAAGUACAGCAUAUAACUUUAAUGAACCCUUUCUGAGAUGGGAAUCUCAAAUUUGAACUGGACACAGCUAGUAAGAAAACUCCAAUGGAUUUUUAAGCUGGAGGUGAAAGCAAACUUGAAUAUUUCCUGGGAUGCCAAUAAACAUCGUGUGCUAAGAGGUGUCAAAAUGUUUGCUGGAGUUUAUAUGACUAGAAGCUAAAACAAUGGUUUUACUCUGCUUCUAAGAAGUUAGAAUGCUUCCUUUGUAGAGAGUACCUAGAACUUCAGAUUAUUAUUAGGGAAGCGAACACUUGCGCUGCUGCUUCAUGUAGUGAACACAUGCAAUGCAAUGAUGCAACUACAGAAUGUAUUAAGACACAGGAGUUGAGAUAAAAAUAUGCAGUUUCUGUGCUGCAGUGGAUUUGUUUUCGCUGCAAACAACUUAGUGUUUUAAGUGUGCUUGAAUUAUAGAAAAAUGAAUUCAGAGUGAGAAGGAAGGGUGUAGAAAUGCCAUUUUAAAAUGUCUAGCAUGGAAAAAACAAAUGAAGCUGAGAAGUCUAUUAGGACUUGAAACAUGAAAAAGUGAAAAACACUUAAAUUUGAAAUGAAAUAGGUCACAUGCUUACAGCUACUUCAGUGGAGUUUCUUGCUGGAAUUACUUUGCUAUCCUCAUGAUCUUUGGUAGUUUAAAGCAUUUAGAGCUUUACAAAAAUAGCUGUUUUGAGUGUUGUAGACAAUACACUGUGAUUGCAUAUGACUGCAUGUCUUCAAAAAAAAAAAAAGAUGAAAACAGCUUUAUUUGAAAUUCAAAUGGAAAAACUUCCCUAAACAACUCAAGUUCACAUUCGGAUUAAUGGAGUACUGAUACAUGAUUAACCAAAGUCUCAAGAACACUAGGAGAUCAUAUUGUGUAUCAGUAGCUAGAGAGCAAACCCAAAGAGUUUGUUUCUAGCUGAGGGUUCUGAUGCAGAUUAUUUCUGGAAUAAAGAGACCAUACAUCUCUUCAAAUAACAGUACUUGAUAUGUCAUCUUUAAAAGAUGGUGUUACUUAAAUAUAACCACGGACAUUUUCUCCACGUGGGUUAUCUUUUCUCUGUGGAGUUUCUUGUUGGUGUUCUUGCUUUUUAAAGAAAAAAAUAUAUAUUUAGUUCCCAUUGGUUAAGAAGUUGAAGUGUUUUGGUGUUGAAGCUGAUAAUAGAUAUAGGGCUUACAAGUGUUGCAAUGUUUUUGUAUAUUGUUAUGUCUGCUGUUUAAAAGAAAAAAAAAGAAAUUGAUUGUAAGUAUAAAUGGCUGUUGUGUGAAUAAACUUUUUGUUACAUUCUCGAAUAUAGGUAGUGUUUAAAAAGUUUGACAGACAUACCUUGAAAGCAAAGGUGAAAAAGCACAAAACCACAGGCUGGGCAGAAGAAACUAUUCUAAUUAGACUGUUAAAACAGCUUUGUAGCAUCUCCUCUUGGAGACCCUAACCUUUCAAAAUGAGUUGCUUUAGUAAUUAUUUGAAGACUGUGAACCUUAGGAAUAAGGGAUAGUUGCUUUCCAUACAACUGCACUUCAAGCACUGUAGAUGCACUGUCUAGGUGUCAUAGAAUUCAAGAGAGAACCACAACAACAAAAAAGCAUCCUCUUUACUCAGCUGCUGUAGUUCUGCUUUAACUACAUGUUGUAACUUCAUUCCCAUCUACUCACACCUCUUGGUGAUCAAAUAACCAUGUAGCUGGUGCUGUACAUCUUAAGUGCCCUCUGAUUUGUUAUCUUGGCAAAGUAGUCUGGGUUUGUUAUUGUUCAUCUUGUUAGACUGAAAAUCUGUUAUCUGGCCAAAGCAGUCCCAAAAAAGUAAAUUAAUUGAGUACUGCAAUAACUGCACUUCACUUUUUGUGUACUGAGAUGCUUGCCUGGAUGUUGCUUUGUUUCCUGGAUGGAGGUGAAUGGGUAGCUGCUUUUCUCACACCCAAAGCAGAAUUGUCUAAGCUUUUACUGAACCUAGUGCUUUGUAUUAACUUCUGAUAACUCUUCCUUAAAUAAGAUGGCACUGAGUAUAAUCUAAAUUUAAGCAUUUAAAGUGCAACAAUUCAGCUUUCUACUGUCUGAUAUGCCCAUUUUCUUUUUUUAAUGAGAAGAGGGGAAUUAAGGGUCUCAUAUAUGUGAUUCUUGUAUUUACACUGGUAUCUGACCAGCAAAUAAGGCUUGUGUUAGGAAAGCUGUGUGGUAAAAACAAAGGUCACCUAAAGCGGUAUGUUACACUGAUUUUUUUUUUUUCUGUCAUCUGUUAGUUAAAAUUAAGGGAUUGAGUCAUAAAGUCACAAAAAAAAAAAGCAAACAACAGUAAACACCACCAACUUAAUUCUGUGUAAUAGUUUCUUCCUGCUACUUAAAAAUUUAAGUGGUUCCAAGGGAUUAUUGUUGACAGGUCUUUCAUAAGCUUUUUUCUUUUGAACUGAGGGAUGAGAAAAGGGGUGCUUUAGUCCAGUGUAAAAUGACAAUUGAACUGCUAAUGAGUAAUUGAUAAAACAGCUUAUAUAAUUGUUUUGUUCCUGGAUGUUUAGGCAGCUGAAAGGACUCCUAAAGUUUCCUAAACUAGGAGGCUAAAUUGGAGAGGAUUGUUUGGUGUUCAGAGAAACAAUAUGAGCGUUUCUUAAGGGAAAUAAAUGGAGUACAUCGCUAGAAAUGUAGGUGUAGGUAAAUGUAGGUGUAGAGCUGUGUUAACUUCAAACUCCUUUGCUACCAUCUUUCUGAUUCUGUAAUCUAUAUACAUCUGAACAGUUGUUUCUGUAUGCCACUAGUAUUUUACAAGUAGUGGUUUUAAUGAAGCCAGUGUGAAUUAUUCCUGUUACACAACUCUUUGAUAAGUUACUGGAAGUUGGGAAUGUUGAAUCUAAUGUUGAAUAAGAGCUUGCUAGCAGGUUUCACACUUACUUUUAGAAAUCUUUUACAACUUAGUGAAUUCCUGGCAUAGUGAAAUGAGUGAUCUUUAAUGACUGAUGUGUGCUAAUUCAGUAUGACAGCUUGUUAAGCGUAAGAUGUAGCACUGCUGUGGUUGAAUGAAAAAUGCUCUUCUUAAAGAAAAAAAUAUUGCUGUUCUUCACAUAAUCUUCUUAUAAAGUUUAUGAGUACAAACGACUGCUUCUCUUAGCUUUAGGUAGUAGAGAAACAUAGGUAGUCCUAGGAGUUGCUUUAAGUGUGAGCCAAGCAUAAGCGUGUUUGCAUUGUUCUUCAUAGUGUAUCUUUACUGGACUGUAUGUUUCACUUUUUUCUUUCUGUAGGCUUAAUGAAUUUGAAGAGAUCACCAAUAAUGUUAUAGUUUUUCUAGGUUUUUUUUUAAUUAAUACUUCAUUUGUUCAUGUAAAUACAAAGCGUGUGUUCAUCUUGCCUUGGAAUUUAAUAUCAGAGCAUGUAGCUAGUAUUUUUUAAAAGUAGUCAGUGAAAUGCUUGAACUGAUAUUCAUGACUUGAGGUUGCUUAACUUUACCAAUUCUUGAAAUGGGCGGCUGGAGCCAAGGAUCACAAGAGUGCUAGUACAGGAAGAGGCUUUCUGUUUGGUGAUGGAGAGAAGAGACGUUCCUCAGAGCAGCACUGAAAUAGCCUGUUUGAGCAUUGAAACAGGGGCUGUGAUUGGAGCAGUCCUUGCUCUUUUUAUCAUUACCAUCUUUGUGACAGUGCUGCUGACGCCAAGGAAGAAAAGGCCAUCCUAUCUUGACAAAGUGAUUGAUCUUCCGCCCACUCACAAACCAUCUUCACACGAGGAGAGAGCGUUCUCUCUACCGCAGAAAGAAACUAUAAUUCAG